CCAUAUAGCGUGGAAACGCCAGUUCCCGUACGGUCACUAACGUUAAGCAAUGUCGAGCCUUGUCAGUUGAUAGAUGGGUGACUGCAUGGGAAUAUCAGGUGCUGUAAG
Non-coding RNA from Acanthosepion pharaonis, 108 nucleotides. The record is from the annotation of a GenBank genome assembly. NCBI's taxonomy places the organism in Eukaryota, Metazoa, Mollusca, Cephalopoda, Sepiida, Sepiidae.